GCGCAGCAGGCGCGAAACCUCCGCAAUGCACGCAAGUGCGACGGGGGAACCCCAAGUGCCACUCUUAACGGGGUGGCUUUUCAGAAGUGUAAAAAGCUUCUGGAAUAAGGGCUGGGCAAGACCGGUGCCAGCCGCCGCGGUAACACCGGCAGCUUAAGUGGUAGCCGCUUUUAUUGGGCCUAAAGCGUCCGUAGCCGGUCUGAUAAGUCUCUGGUGAAAUCCCGCAGCUUAACUGUGGGAAUUGCUGGAGAUACUAUCAUGACUCGAGGUCGGGAGAGGCUGGAGGUACUCCCAGGGUAGGGGUGAAAUCCUGUAAUCCUGGGAGGACCACCUGUGGCGAAGGCGUCCAGCUGGAACGAACCUGACGGUGAGGGANNANNGNNNGGGGCGCGAACCGGAUUAGAUACCCGGGUAGUCCUGGCCGUAAACGAUGUGGACUUGGUGUUGGGAUGGCUUCGAGCUGCCCCAGUGCCGAAGGGAAGCUGUUAAGUCCACCGCCUGGGAAGUACGGCCGCAAGG
This 519-nucleotide ribosomal RNA is filed under the name uncultured Methanobacteriales archaeon. Its description in RNAcentral is "bacterial SSU rRNA". It matches the Rfam family "Archaeal small subunit ribosomal RNA", at positions 330 to 848 of the family's 1478-position model. Lineage: Archaea; Methanobacteriati; Methanobacteriota; Methanobacteria; Methanobacteriales. The record is from RNAcentral.